RNAcentral lists this long non-coding RNA (470 nucleotides) under Carica papaya (papaya). RNAcentral's name for it is "long non-coding RNA (CPAP_LNC016646)". Lineage: Eukaryota; Viridiplantae; Streptophyta; Magnoliopsida; Brassicales; Caricaceae. The record is from RNAcentral.
CAGCACUACCGUGGGGAAUUUCACAAAACGCCUCCGAUGGGGCCCUUUCCGAUUCCUGUUCUGUAUAAUAUUUCUAUUAUUGUGAUAACCGUGUCCUUCUCUACAGGUUGAUCGGAGCAAAACACCCAACCGCAGCAUGAGCUGGAAGAGCUGCUUCACCGGAGUGCACCACCGUCGGUAAGUUUCAAUUUUUUAUCUUUUUCGGCAAACUGAGGCCCCUUAAUGUGUUUUCUCGUAGGGAUUGAUGCAAAAUCGGCCAAAAAUAGCCAACCCGAGGUGGACUACCGCUGCGGGUGGCAGCACCGUCACUGGAGCACAGGAGAGCUGUCGUGCUGAAAUUUUAAAAUUUACCAUGUUGUCCCUGGUACUGAUUUAUGGUUUGUUUGGGACAUUUAUAGGUACUAUUAGCGCGUUUUAAUUCCCGAAGAAAAUUUUAAGGAACUUGAAAAUCGCCCGUAUGCGCAGUCGAA